GACGAACGCUGGCGGCGUGCUUAACACAUGCAAGUCGAGCGGUCCGGCAUUUAACAUUGAGUAUUCAGAGCUGAGUUGGCGAUUGAGCUGGCGUCAAGCAAAAACUUCCUUAAUAAUAUAAAUUAAAGUUUUUGCUUCACGCGCUAAAAGUGCCAACACAUGCGAAUCUGAGUAUUGAAUGUUAAAUGUCGGAUAGCGGCGGACGGGUGAGUAACGCGUGGGCAACCUGCCUCAUACAGGGGGAUAACACUGGGAAACUAGUGCUAAUACCGCAUAACAUAGAGAAGUGGCAUCACUUCACUAUCAAAGGAGCAAUCCGGUAUGAGAUGGGCCCGCGUCCGAUUAGCUAGUUGGUGAGGUAACGGCUCACCAAGGCGACGAUCGGUAGCCGAACUGAGAGGUUGAUCGGCCACAUUGGGACUGAGACACGGCCCAGACUCCUACGGGAGCAGCAGUGGGGAAUAUUGCGCAAGUGGGGAAA
RNAcentral lists this ribosomal RNA (481 nucleotides) under uncultured bacterium. RNAcentral describes it as "bacterial SSU rRNA". It matches the Rfam family "Bacterial small subunit ribosomal RNA", at positions 28 to 380 of the family's 1533-position model. The record is from RNAcentral.